GGCUCUUGGGCUUGGGCCGCGGACAUAUUGGGAUCUUUUAAAGCUAACCCAAUUGGAAAAGAAAACCCAUCCAGCCCAUUUCAUUGAAAUUAAGCACACUAAGCCCAUACCGCAAAUGCUCAGCCCAAGCAUGUUUAAAGAUAAAACCAGCCCGAAUUUACCAAUUCCAGCUCAUUAAACCAAUUUAAGAUCAAAGCCCAUUAAGCCUAAUUAAAACU
RNAcentral lists this long non-coding RNA (218 nucleotides) under Eucalyptus grandis. RNAcentral's name for it is "long non-coding RNA (EGRA_LNC000274)". The record is from RNAcentral. Lineage: Eukaryota; Viridiplantae; Streptophyta; Magnoliopsida; Myrtales; Myrtaceae.